This 253-nucleotide ribosomal RNA is filed under the name uncultured bacterium. RNAcentral's name for it is "partial 16S ribosomal RNA". It matches the Rfam family "Bacterial small subunit ribosomal RNA", at positions 524 to 776 of the family's 1533-position model. The record is from RNAcentral.
UACGUAGGGAGCAAGCGUUAUCCGGAUUUAUUGGGUGUAAAGGGCGCGUAGACGGGAAGGCAAGUUGGUUGUGAAAUCCCUCGGCUUAACUGAGGAACUGCAACCAAAACUAUCUUUCUUGAGUGCUGGAGAGGAAAGUGGAAUUCCUAGUGUAGCGGUGAAAUGCGUAGAUAUUAGGAGGAACACCAGUGGCGAAGGCGACUUUCUGGACAGUAACUGACGUUGAGGCACGAAAGUGUGGGGAGCAAACAGG